GAUGCUUUUUGCAACCAAACAUUUCUCCCCAGCCCAUGUUCUUCUGCCCUGGUUGUUUUGGGUGGGAGUUUUUUGCUGUCGCUGGCAAUUGCAUUUAUUUCAUACUGUAUCCCCUCCUUUCACAGAGACAAGGAAAACCUUGCAGCAGCAUCAGAAAACAGGCCUACAGGUACCGCGCAUGCGCCCCAGUAUGUGACCUCGAGUAUUUGGCAUCCUCCUAAGUCAUCCACCAGGGAUGCCAACACUGCCAAUGCUCAGCCAGUGGCCUCCAAGGGGUCUGUGAGGCUUGGAGCAGGUACAAGCCAGGGGGAGGCCGGUGUUGGCCAGAAAGCCCCUCUUGCUUCAUCCAGUAACCAAAGUACCCCUGUUGAGCAUGCCCCGGUGGCUCCCAGUCCUGCUGCUCCUGCACCACAUGCUUCAGCACCUCAGCCUGCUACUGCUGCUCCAAACACAGCCAGCCUGAUGACAGCACCAGCCACCACCUCAGUAGUGCAAGAGUCUUUCUCGUCCUCCUUCCAAAGAAACACAAUCCAGUCAUAUACACCAAUGCCAGUUUCUGGAAGCUACAGUGAAAGUCCUGCUUCUUCUGCUGCUUCAAAAAGAGUUGUUACUACUGCCAGCAUAAAGCCCUCUGUCUACCAGCCAGGUAAGGAGCCUUCAAAGUAAUUAAAAUAUUCAGAAAAAAAUGCUCACACAUUUCUUUUGGAAAAAGAAAAUGUAGAAAGUACACAUUUUGCACACAGACAUACCAGAAAGUAUUUAUACAUGUGGAUCUAAAUGUUGCUAGUUUUGCCUCAGAUUAUUUAAAGAUUAAGGAUUAUGUUGUAUUUGUAUUCUACUUCAGAACUAAAACGUGAAACAAACAGAGGGGAAAAUAAAAGCAAGGGAAAAGUCUAAUAAAAAGGUCUAACCUGAUUUUUCAAAAGAAAUACAUUUGAAAAAUAACCCGUGUAUCCAAUUAGGAGCCCAGUGACACUACAGAAUUGAGAAAAUGGCUAAAAAAGAAUGCACAGUUCAGGAGGGAGGUAAAAUAAGUGGAGUUUGCUUGAAUAGGAUAUAUUUGCAAAAUAGGUAAGACCAUAUAUUGAGUUUCUCAAACUUAGGCUUAUAUUUGAAAUAAAGAAUGAGGUAUUAAAGCACCUCAUAAUGCUAUCUCAUUUCCCAGAGAUAGUAACCUAAGGAAUAUAUUUGGUUAUUCAUUCAUUUGGAAAAUAUGCUCUUUGAUAUUAUUUCAAUUCCCUCGAUAUUAAUGUGUUACAAAUGGACUGGGCUUCUGAAACCAUUGAUGACCAAAAUGUGAACCUUCAAACUGAGUGAAUUAAAUGAGAAACCAAUUUAAGUCUAAAGGCAGUUCUGUUUCUAAUUAAGGUUUUUCUGAUCUUAGCAAGAGAAUUAAAAUGUUGAUUUAUAUUUUUACAGUCAAAUAAACAUGAAAAGGCCAAGAAUUCUAAGUCUUAAACUCUGUCUUCUGUAAUCUGGAUCUACUGAACUUAAACAAAUGUAGGAAUUUUAGUUAGACAUAAAGCAGACAGACAAAUCAAUUGAUCUUUAUAUUUGAGACAUAAAGGUAGGAAAAGUCAAGUCAGAGCUCUCAUGAGCUAUUUAAGGGUCUCAUAGUAAAUAAACCUUCAGCUCUUCCUCAUUUGCUUUAGUUGUGUGCCAGUGUAUACCAUGUUCUCAUUCAAGGCAAAUGCUAUUAUUUUUGACUUGAAAAGACAACGACAACAGAUUUUUUUCUAUAAUGCAGAAGACAGCAAACUCUGGCAAAUCAAAAUACCUCCUAAAUACACUGACUGAUUUUAAACCCUGUGCUCAUUUGGGGAAGUAUAAACUCCAGUUCAAUAUACAAACCUGCCACAUCUGCAGCUAUUUCCAAUUGUUGGCUGGAUCUGGUAAAGUCAAAGCUGGCUGUUGAAUUCCACUUGGAAUAAGAGGAAAGGCUUUUGUUUUCUCCUGGGUUGGGCAUUUUUUUUGCACUUCCUUACAUUCCUGGUGUUCCUUUGCAAUUCCUUCGGUUGCUGCUUUUGAGCCUCAUUGCCUCUCAAUAAAGGCUUAAAUAGUUGGCAGAGAAAGAAAAGGUCCUCCUGUACUGUUUAGAAGUUUGAAAUAUCCAAUAAGGGAUUCUAAAAUGCCUUCAUAAUUGAACCCUGAAGUGACUCAGUUACAAGAGAGGUUCCAGGCAGAGAUUUCAGUGAAGAUGUUUGGUUCUUGUUUUGGUACUCUGUAAAGUGUACUUUAUAUUUGAUGUAGUAGCACUUCAGAGUGGUUUUGGAGCAUGAGCUAUCCUCAGAGACAGUUGCAGAGCAAAUGGGAAAUUGCCACUUGGGAAGAAAUGGACGAAAUAACAUUUCCUGUAACAGAUGGGAAAAUCAAUAGUACUUAGAAGCAAACCACCAAGACAGUUAGAAAACUUCCUCAUCCAACUUUGUCAAUGAUUGGCUUCUCUUGGAAAUGUGGGGCAGCAACUUCCAUAUUAAAACACCAAUCAACAGGCUCAUAUAUUCAAUACAGAGACUCCUGAAUCAGUCACUGAGAGGAUUUACAAGGCUAUUUUAAUGUCACAUUGAAAAUAAAACCCAAACAAACUAAAAUCUCAAAAUGAAACUGCAUUGUUAAGUAUCUGGCUCAGAUGGGAUUUAUCAGGCAGUCUACAUCUCCCUAACCUAACUCAAGUGGGAAAUUUUCUGCUGCUAAAGAUCCUUCGUUUUUUCCAGUAGAGAAAGCUGUGAACUCUCAAAUCUUCUCCCUAAAUUUCAUAACCCGUGUUUUAAAGGAGCACAGACUUCUCUUCUGAGCAAGGCCCACUAGAUGGCAGAACAUACCUGGCUGUUCCUUUCCCGAAGGCUUUCCCAGGCCAGCAUAGGCUUUCACGUAUCCCAAACCACUCCAGCUCCACUUCUGUACCACGAAGUAACGCGAUACCUAAAUGUAAGAAAGCAGAUCUUUCCUUUUAAAUCCCUAAGUCCAACUGGGCCUACUUGUGUAUGCAAAAUUGGUCAAGCAUAAAGGCCUGAUCUGCUCUUUGAGGAAUUGGUAGAGAGAUUCUCACAGUUCUUAAUGAAUUUUAUAUUGAAUCCUAAGCACCUUCCAUACUAAACCAGAAGAUUCCAUAUAUUUCACUUUAGUUCCUAUAAAUUAGAAUAUUAUCUCCCUAUAAAACAUCAUCUGCUCUGUCAUCUACUCUGUACUGUAACAGUAUAUGGGAAAACUUUGGGAUUCAAGGAUGUGGCCACUAAGUGUAGAACAAAUCAUCAGUUGUGGUUAUUAAUUUAUUUUGUUACUGAUAAUAAUAAAGAGUAACACUUAUGUCAUCUACUAACAAAAAAAAAA
Taeniopygia guttata (zebra finch) is the source of this 3330-nucleotide long non-coding RNA. The record is from Ensembl. NCBI's taxonomy places the organism in Eukaryota, Metazoa, Chordata, Aves, Passeriformes, Estrildidae.